GACGAACGCUGGCGGCGUGCUUAACACAUGCAAGUCGAACGAAGAGCGAUGGAAGCUUGCUUCUAUCAAUCUUAGUGGCGAACGGGUGAGUAACGCGUAAUCAACCUGCCCUUCAGAGGGGGACAACAGUUGGAAACGACUGCUAAUACCGCAUACGAUCUGACCUCGGCAUCGAGGAUAGAUGAAAGGUGGCCUCUACAUGUAAGCUAUCACUGAAGGUGGGGAUUGCGUCUGAUUAGCUAGUUGGAGGGGUAACGGCCCACCAAGGCGAUGAUCAGUAGCCGGUCUGAGAGGAUGAACGGCCACAUUGGGACUGAGACACGGCCCAGACUCCUACGGGAGGCAGCAGUGGGGAAUCUUCCGCAAUGGACGAAAGUCUGACGGAGCAACGCCGCGUGAGUGAUGACGGCCUUCGGGUUGUAAAGCUCUGUUAAUCGGGACGAAAGGCCUUUUUGCGAAUAGUGAGAAGGAUUGACGGUACCGGAAUAGAAAGCCACGGCUAACUACGUG
This 510-nucleotide ribosomal RNA is filed under the name uncultured bacterium. RNAcentral describes it as "partial 16S ribosomal RNA". It matches the Rfam family "Bacterial small subunit ribosomal RNA", at positions 28 to 507 of the family's 1533-position model. The record is from RNAcentral.